UACGGAGGGUGCGAACGUUAAUCGGAAUCACUGGGCGUAAAGCGCGCGUAGGCGGUGUGUUAAGUGGGAUGUGAAAUCCCCGGGCUUAACCUGGGAAUUGCAUUUCAAACUGGCCGACUAGAGUACGGUAGAGGGAGGUAGAAUUUCCUGUGUAGCGGUGAAAUGCGUAGAUAUAGGAAGGAAUACCAGUGGCGAAGGCGGCCUCCUGGAUCGAUACUGACGCUGAGGCGCGAAAGCGUGGGGAGCAAACAGG
RNAcentral lists this ribosomal RNA (253 nucleotides) under uncultured bacterium. RNAcentral describes it as "partial 16S ribosomal RNA". It matches the Rfam family "Bacterial small subunit ribosomal RNA", at positions 524 to 776 of the family's 1533-position model. The record is from RNAcentral.